RNAcentral lists this ribosomal RNA (297 nucleotides) under uncultured bacterium. Its description in RNAcentral is "partial 16S ribosomal RNA". It matches the Rfam family "Bacterial small subunit ribosomal RNA", at positions 28 to 334 of the family's 1533-position model. The record is from RNAcentral.
GAUGAACGCUGGCGGCGUGCCUAAUACAUGCAAGUCGGACGGAGCGCUUCGGCGCUCAGUGGCGAACGGGUGAGUAGCACAUGGGCAACCUGCCCUUCAGAGGGGGACAACAGUUAGAAAUGACUGCUAAUACCGCAUAAGCGCACAGUAUCGCAUGAUACAGUGUGAAAAACUCCGGUGGUACAAGAUGGACCCGCGUCUGAUUAGCUAGUUGGUAAGGUAACGGCUUACCAAGGCGACGAUCAGUAGCCGACCUGAGAGGGUGACCGGCCACAUUGGGACUGAGACACGGCCCAA